Molecule: ribosomal RNA, 253 nt
Filed under: uncultured bacterium
Lineage: Bacteria
Description: partial 16S ribosomal RNA
Rfam family: Bacterial small subunit ribosomal RNA
Source: RNAcentral
GACGUGGGGGGCCAGCGUUGCUCGGAAUUACUGGGCGUAAAGGGUUCGUAGGCGGUGCGGCAAGUCGGGGGUGAAAUCUCUGGGCUUAACCCAGAGGCUGCCUCCGAAACUGCCGUGCUCGAGUGCGGGAGAGGCGAGUGGAAUUGCAGGUGUAGCGGUGAAAUGCGUAGAUAUCUGCAGGAACACCCGUGGCGAAGGCGGCUCGCUGGACCGCAACUGACGCUGAGGAACGAAAGCUAGGGGAGCAAACAGG